AUGAACGCUGGCGGCGUGCCUAAUACAUGCAAGUCGAGCGAACGGACGAGAAGCUUGCUUCUCUGAUGUUAGCGGCGGACGGGUGAGUAACACGUGGAUAACCUACCUAUAAGACUGGGAUAACUUCGGGAAACCGGAGCUAAUACCGGAUAAUAUUUUGAACCGCAUGGUUCAAAAGUGAAAGACGGUCUUGCUGUCACUUAUAGAUGGAUCCGCGCUGCAUUAGCUAGUUGGUAAGGUAACGGCUUACCAAGGCAACGAUGCAUAGCCGACCUGAGAGGGUGAUCGGCCACACUGGAACUGAGACACGGUCCAGACUCCUACGGGAGGCAGCAGUAGGGAAUCUUCCGCAAUGGGCGAAAGCCUGACGGAGCAACGCCGCGUGAGUGAUGAAGGUCUUCGGACCGUAAAACUCUGUUAUUAGGGAAGAACAUAUGUGUAAGUAACUGUGCGCAUCUUGACGGUACCUAAUCAGAAAGCCACGGCUAACUACGUG
RNAcentral lists this ribosomal RNA (496 nucleotides) under uncultured bacterium. RNAcentral describes it as "partial 16S ribosomal RNA". It matches the Rfam family "Bacterial small subunit ribosomal RNA", at positions 29 to 507 of the family's 1533-position model. The record is from RNAcentral.